This is a long non-coding RNA of Pongo pygmaeus (Bornean orangutan), 528 nucleotides long. RefSeq lists it as uncharacterized. NCBI's taxonomy places the organism in Eukaryota, Metazoa, Chordata, Mammalia, Primates, Hominidae. The transcript is spliced from 3 exons. The record is from RefSeq and is a predicted model, not a curated record.
GGCCCAGCGCCUUUGCCCCGCAAGCCAGGGAGCGGUGCCAUUGCUCCGGGAAGUCGCCUGGCCUGAGACUUUCCUAAAUUCUAUCCAGACUCAGUGCCCAGAGGCUGGGAUCCUGUGAAUAAAAUGGCGUAGAUGUGCUUGCGCGGAUUUCCUGCUGAGAGUCCAUGAGCAUCUCAAGGAUUUGCAUCCAUGUGCUUAUAAGCAAUGGGAGUGAAUGAAGAGCCAGGCCCAGCAACAGAGGGGAGCCUGUCCACAUGGAGCAAAAGGAGCCGGACACCAGAUUCACCCAUGGCACGAACCCGGUGACGGAGGCAGUGUGAGCAGGCAGGCGGCGGCCACUCUGGGGAAGGGAGAAGGAAUGAGGGUGGGAGGGGCACAGAGGGCCUCCAGGGAGACGGUCCUAUUGUGCCUCUUCACCUGGGUGUCUGUCACCUGGAUGCAAACUUUGUGAUCAUUCACUGAGUCAGGUUUUGUUACAUGUCUCCUUAAAAACAGUUCUUAAAAGCUCCAAUGUAUAUUUCACUAAGA